RNAcentral lists this unclassified non-coding RNA (334 nucleotides) under soil metagenome. RNAcentral describes it as "partial contains 5.8S ribosomal RNA, internal transcribed spacer 2, and large subunit ribosomal RNA". The stretch from base 1 to 120 matches the Rfam family "5.8S ribosomal RNA", at positions 35 to 154 of the family's 154-position model. The record is from RNAcentral.
GAUGAAGAACGCAGCGAAAUGCGAUAAGUAAUGUGAAUUGCAGAAUUCAGUGAAUCAUCGAAUCUUUGAACGCACAUUGCGCCCCCCAGUAUUCUGGCGGGCAUGCCUGUUCGAGCGUCAUUUCAACCAUCAAGCCCUGCUUGUGUUGGGGUCCUGCGGCUGCCCGCAGGCCCUGAAAACCAGUGGCGGGCUCGCUAGUCACACCGAGCGCAGUAGCACAUCUCGCUCAGGGCGUGCGGCGGGCUCCAGCCGUUAAACACCCCCUUUUUACCAAGGUUGACCUCGGAUCAGGUAGGAAUACCCGCUGAACUUAAGCAUAUCAAUAAGCGGAGGA